AUGCAAAAGAAGAAAGAUUUUGACAAUGAUAUUGUUAAAUUGAAGCUAUUUCCUUUUUCGCUUAGAGAUCGUGCUAAAGCUUGGUUUUCGUCUUUGCCUAAAAAUAGUAUUGAUUCUUGGAAUAAGUGCAAAGAUGCUUUUAUCUCUAAGUAUUUUCCUCCCGCUAAGAUUAUCUCUCUUAGAAACGAUAUUAUGAAUUUUAAGCAACUUGAUCAUGAACAUGUUGCACAAGCUUGGGAGAGUAUGAAAUUAAUGAUACGUAAUUGCCCUACACAUGGUUUGAAUUUGUGGAUGAUUAUACAAAAAUUUUAUGCCGGAUUGAAUUUUGCUUCUAGAAAUCUUUUAGAUUCGGCCGCGGGAGGCACUUUUAUGGAAAUCACUUUAGGAGAAGCUACUAAACUCCUAGAUAAUAUUAUGGUUAAUUAUUCUCAAUGGCACACUAAAAGAUCUACUAAUAAAAAGGUGCAUUCGAUAGAAGAAAUUAAUGUUUUGAGUGGAAAGAUGGAUGAACUUAUGAAAUUAUUUGCUAGUAAGAGUGUUUCUUCCGAUCCUAAUGAUAUGCCUUUGUCUACUUUGAUUGAGAAUAAUAAUGAAUCUAUGGAUGUGAAUUUUGUUGGUAGGAAUAAUUUUGGUAACAACGCGUAUAGAGGGAAUUUUAAUCCUCGGCCUUAUCCUAGCAAUUCCUCUAAUAAUUAUGGUAAUUCCUACAACAAUUCUUAUGGAAAUUUUAAUAAGAUGCCUUCUGAAUUUGAGACUAGUGUUAAGUAA
Molecule: ribosomal RNA, 768 nt
Filed under: Triticum aestivum (bread wheat)
Lineage: Eukaryota; Viridiplantae; Streptophyta; Magnoliopsida; Poales; Poaceae
Description: partial small subunit ribosomal RNA
Source: RNAcentral